Molecule: ribosomal RNA, 253 nt
Filed under: uncultured bacterium
Lineage: Bacteria
Description: partial 16S ribosomal RNA
Rfam family: Bacterial small subunit ribosomal RNA
Source: RNAcentral
UUUGAUGGAUGGCGACCGGCGCACGGGUGAGUAACACGUAUCCAACCUGCCGACAACACUGGGAUAGCCUUUCGAAAGAAAGAUUAAUACCGGAUGGCAUAGUUUUCCCGCAUGGGAUAAUUAUUAAAGAAUUUCGGUUGUCGAUGGGGAUGCGUUCCAUUAGGCAGUUGGCGGGGUAACGGCCCACCAAACCAACGAUGGAUAGGGGUUCUGAGAGGAAGGUCCCCCACAUUGGAACUGAGACACGGUCCAA